RNAcentral lists this ribosomal RNA (112 nucleotides) under Acinetobacter pseudolwoffii. RNAcentral describes it as "partial 16S ribosomal RNA". It matches the Rfam family "Bacterial small subunit ribosomal RNA", at positions 1427 to 1533 of the family's 1533-position model. The record is from RNAcentral. Lineage: Bacteria; Pseudomonadati; Pseudomonadota; Gammaproteobacteria; Moraxellales; Moraxellaceae.
UAGGUAGUCUAACCGCAAGGAGGACGCUUACCACGGUGUGGCAGAUGACUGGGGUGAAGUCGUAACAAGGUAGCCGUAGGGGAACCUGCGGCUGGAUCACCUCCUUAACGAA